CAAAUGAAGGUUAGCUAUUUCGUUCGUGAUAUCUGAACUGAAGAGGCGAAGAGUGAACUCCUUCAUGAAAGAAAUGCAUAGUCUAGUUAGCUGAAUGAAUUGUGUCUCCAACACUUCUUGUAGCCUCCAAACAUUUUCGAUUCCGCAGCUGGAGUUUAUUUUGGGAUAAAAAGAUAUUCCUUAGGAGAUUACCAAGCGCGUCGGUAUGCCUUCCAAGAUAUUCUCCUUUUUCCUUCGAGACAGUACCCCACUCUCUGAGGACAUCCACAUCUCGUCUUUACCACCCAGUAUGACCACAGACCAGGAUCCAGGGGGAGGUGACACGUCCCAGGGGACGUCAGUGGUACAGACCACAUGCACUCGGCGAGGAACUCCUUCCCCCUCUGUGUUCCCAGAGGGUCACAAUGACACUGUGUCUAGUACCUAUUUUGAUCAGAAGGUCACCAUUCCAGAGGAAACCAGUCAGAUGAGUUUCAGUUUCCGUAAGCUGUGGGCCUACACUGGGCCUGGGUUUUUAAUGAGCAUUGCCUACCUUGACCCAGGGAACAUAGAGUCUGACCUGCAGUCUGGGGCCAAGGCUGGCUUCAAGCUGUUGUGGGUCCUACUGGGAGCCACUCUCAUUGGUCUACUGCUCCAGAGGUUGGCUGCUCGACUGGGCGUGGUCACAGGGAUGCACCUGGCGGAAGUCUGUCACUGCCAGUACCGCACAGUUCCCCGUAUUAUCCUAUGGUUAAUGGUGGAGCUGGCUAUCAUUGGUUCAGACAUGCAGGAAGUCAUUGGAUGUGCUAUUGCAUUUAACCUCCUCUCCUCUGGCAGGAUCCCACUGUGGGGAGGUGUUCUCAUCACCAUCAUUGACACGUUUGUCUUUCUCUUCUUAGACAAGUAUGGUCUGAGGAAGCUUGAAGCCUUCUUUGGGCUUCUCAUCACCAUCAUGGCCAUCACGUUUGGAUAUGAGUAUGUGACGGUGGCUCCAGACCAGGGUCAGCUGCUGAGGGGGAUGUUUGUCCCCUACUGUGAGGGCUGUGGAGCAGCCCAGCUCCAGCAGGCUGUGGGCAUCGUGGGGGCAGUCAUCAUGCCACACAACAUCUACCUGCACUCGGCCCUCGUCAAGUCUCGACAGAUUGACCGGUCUAGCAAGAAGGAGGUCAAGGAGGCCAACAAAUACUUCUUUAUUGAGUCGUCCAUUGCACUCUUCAUCUCUUUUCUCAUCAAUGUUUUCGUGGUGGCUGUGUUCGCCGAGGCGUUCUAUGGACGCACAAAUAUUGAAGUGUAUAAUGAAUGCAAUGCUACAGGCAGUCCCCAUGUUGACCUCUUCCCACUAGACAACAGCACACUACAGGUGGACAUCUACAAAGGGGGUGUGGUGCUUGGCUGCUUCUUCGGCCCGGCUGCCCUCUACAUCUGGGCUGUGGGGAUCCUGGCUGCAGGCCAGAGCUCCACCAUGACAGGAACCUACUCUGGACAGUUUGUCAUGGAGGGAUUCCUGAACUUGCACUGGUCGCGUUUCACUCGGGUGUUGCUGACCCGUUCCAUCGCCAUCACUCCCACCCUACUGGUGGCCAUCUUCCAGGAUGUGCAGCACCUGACGGGCAUGAACGACUUCCUCAACGUGCUGCAGAGCAUGCAGUUGCCAUUUGCCCUGAUCCCCAUCCUAACUUUCACCAGCCUGGCAUCCCUUAUGCAUGAUUUUGCUAAUGGAUUAGUUUGGAAGAUAGGAGGAGGAGUCUUGAUCUUGUUGGUGUGUGCCAUCAACAUGUAUUUUGUAGUGGUUUAUGUAACUAAGCUACAGAGUAUCUGGCUCUAUGUUCUGGCUGCAAUUCUCUCUCUAGCCUAUCUGGGAUUUGUAGGUUACCUGGCAUGGUUGUGUCUGAUAGCUUUGGGGGUGUCAUGUCUAGACCUCACCACCAGCAGAAGAAAUGACACCACAGUUCUGAUCGAGGAGCUGCCUGAGUUUGACUCUUGAACUCAGAAGCUGAAAGUCUGUACAGUAAUAAAAAAAAGUUGUGCUUUUAUUUUGAACUUGCUAUUUCACUUCUCCGCCACAAGGAGGCACUGUUGACUGACAGAGAUAACUAAUCCCCUGGGGCAGGGAAUGUUUGAUCAGUGCUAGACCACCAGCCCUGCACAGUAAAAUGAACAACAAUUAUAAGAAUUUUUUUAUAUGAUGUCUUGUGAAUUCUUUUAUAAACAUUGUCAAAUGUAAGAAAGCAACCACACUUUGUAUCAUCUGUAUUUUGAUAUAAUCCCUAUUUGCAGUUCUGUCCAUGCUGCAAAGCAGCUAUAGUUCCAAUGCAUAUGUUAUUGAUGUUUUGAUUUUGUGUGCUGGCAUGCCAGUGGAAUUACUGCCUUCACUUGCUGUAAACUGAUACUGCUGUUGCUCAAACUUCAGCCCUGAAAUGCCAGUGCCAUUACUGAGAGAGCGGCCAGACAGGUUUUUCUUUGCAUUGUGGCGGGGAACUUUUUUCUGUCAUGGAGGCCGACUUAUGUAAGAAGGGAGAGUCUUCCCACCUCCCCUCUGUGUUUUUGUUUUUCUCAAUGAGCCAAUCUCUCCCUGCGUAGGCCUCACAGCCUGUCCUGUAGGCCCCUUUCCUGGAAACAUAGCCUAGCAGAGGCCACUCUGGGGCAGGGCUAGGGAGGAGGGAUGGGGGAUACUUCUUCCAGCAAAUCACAUGAUUCUGAACCUAAAGACCCAGCCCUACAUAAAGCUCAGAUUGGCCAAGCUCCAGGCAGGGUGCUCAUCUGCAUGUUUGGAGGUACAUUAAAUUGCAAAAUGCAUAGUGCUGUUGCAGUGGCUUACCAUAGUGUGUACUUAUCCGCCCCAGGACCUCAACACCAGACACCCAUCUUUGCCCCUCUGACUUUCCAUCAGUCUUCUGAAGCUGAGAGGAAUCAUCUUAGGCAAUGUGACCAGCAGACAAGAACCAGACACCACCAGAGAACAACAAGCCUGUACAUCAGACUUGAGAUCACACAACACUGUCCAAGGUCUCCAGGAGAUGUCCAUUUUGCAUUUAUUGCACCUUUGUUGUUGCCUACAAAUGCCUGAAAGUAGGACGGUAAACUGCUGUGCAGUCCUUGUUUUCUUCUUGGGUUGUGUGGUUCAGCCCUGACCACAGUCCUGAUUGGGAUAUGUUUUUGGCAGAAGGGUCAGCAUGCUUCUCUCUGCUGUAGGGCGUUUCUGAUCCCUGAAUAUGUUCUCUCUUUUGACCCCUGGCCUUUGCGGGCAUUAAUGUUGAGUGGAGUCACCUUGCAAUUGGAUGAGAGACACUCUUCUUUACCUUCAGUUUGUGUAUGUAUCGUUUCAUGUACACAUGUGCAUGUAAUAUUCACUGCAUCAAUGAAUGAGCUUACCUUAUAAAAUAACUUUAUAAUAGCUGAUGCAGAGGAGGAAAAUGAGUCCCACUGAAUAAUCUUGCGUCAAAUCUUCAGAGAAACAGUGCAACAAUAUAUAAUAA
Hypomesus transpacificus is the source of this 3455-nucleotide RNA transcript. It is a transcript of the gene named natural resistance-associated macrophage protein 2-like, with no coding region annotated. Lineage: Eukaryota; Metazoa; Chordata; Actinopteri; Osmeriformes; Osmeridae. The record is from RefSeq and is a predicted model, not a curated record. The transcript is spliced from 18 exons.